This 298-nucleotide ribosomal RNA is filed under the name uncultured bacterium. RNAcentral describes it as "partial 16S ribosomal RNA". It matches the Rfam family "Bacterial small subunit ribosomal RNA", at positions 475 to 776 of the family's 1533-position model. The record is from RNAcentral.
CUAUGCGCCUUGCCAGCCGCUCAGGUGUGCCAGCAGCCGCGGUAAUACGGAGGAUGCGAGCGUUAUCCGGAUUUAUUGGGUUUAAAGGGUGCGUAGGUGGUUAAUUAAGUCAGCGGUGAAAGUUUGUGGCUCAACCAUAAAAUUGCCGUUGAAACUGGUUGACUUGAGUAUAUUUGAGGUAGGCGGAAUGCGUGGUGUAGCGGUGAAAUGCAUAGAUAUCACGCAGAACUCCGAUUGCGAAGGCAGCAUACCGGCGCCCUACUGACGCUGAGGCACGGAAGCGUGGGUAUCGAACAGG